RNAcentral lists this ribosomal RNA (339 nucleotides) under Bostryx solutus. Its description in RNAcentral is "partial 16S ribosomal RNA". It matches the Rfam family "Archaeal large subunit ribosomal RNA", at positions 2021 to 2611 of the family's 2987-position model. Lineage: Eukaryota; Metazoa; Mollusca; Gastropoda; Stylommatophora; Orthalicidae. The record is from RNAcentral.
GACUGUGCUAAGGUAGCAUAAUCAUUUGGUCUUUAAUUGGGAUCUAGUAUGAAAGGAUUUACUAGGGAGGUUCUGUCUCACCAUUUAAUGUUUUUAACUUACUUAAAAGGUGAAAAUUCCUUUGAUUAACCAAAAGACGAGAAGACCCUUAGACUUUUAGAUACAUUUAAAUUGAUUAUUUAAUUUCUCUUUUGUUGGGGCGACACAGUAAUUCAAUACUUUAACAUACUGAAAUCUUAGUAUAUAUAAAUCUAAUCUCUUUUAAUAAUAAAUAAAGUACCUGAGGGAUAACAGCAUUAUUAAAUUUUAUUAGAUUGUGACCUCGAUGUUGGACUAGGA